This 232-nucleotide ribosomal RNA is filed under the name uncultured bacterium. Its description in RNAcentral is "partial 16S ribosomal RNA". It matches the Rfam family "Bacterial small subunit ribosomal RNA", at positions 99 to 334 of the family's 1533-position model. The record is from RNAcentral.
CGGACGGGUGAGUAAUGUCUGGGAAACUGCCUGAUGGAGGGGGAUAACUACUGGAAACGGUAGCUAAUACCGCAUAACGUCGCAAGACCAAAGAGGGGGACCUUAGGGCCUCUUGCCAUCGGAUGCGCCCAGAUGGGAUUAGCUAGUAGGUGGGGUAACGGCUUACCUAGGCGACGAUCCCUAGCUGGUCUGAGAGGAUGAUCAGCCACACUGGGACUGAGACACGGCCCAG